RNAcentral lists this unclassified non-coding RNA (146 nucleotides) under Alatospora pulchella. RNAcentral's name for it is "partial internal transcribed spacer 2". The record is from RNAcentral. Lineage: Eukaryota; Fungi; Ascomycota; Leotiomycetes; Leotiales; Leotiaceae.
CAACCCUCAAGCUCAGCUUGGUAUUAGGCUUCACCCUUAGGGGCGGGCUUUAAAAUCAGUGGCGGUGCCAUUCGGCUUCAAGCGUAGUAAUUUCUCUCGCUUUGGAGGUCCGGCUGCGUGCCUGCCAGCAACCCCAAUUUUUUAAA